This 243-nucleotide ribosomal RNA is filed under the name uncultured Actinomycetales bacterium. RNAcentral's name for it is "partial 16S ribosomal RNA". It matches the Rfam family "Bacterial small subunit ribosomal RNA", at positions 88 to 334 of the family's 1533-position model. Lineage: Bacteria; Bacillati; Actinomycetota; Actinomycetes; Actinomycetales. The record is from RNAcentral.
UACUCGAGUGGCGAACGGGUGAGUAACACGUGGGUGAUCUGCCCUGCACUCUGGGAUAAGCCUGGGAAACUGGGUCUAAUACCGGAUAGGACCAUGAUUUAGUGUGUGUGGUGGAAAGUUUUUUCGGUGUAGGAUGAGCCCGCGGCCUAUCAGCUUGUUGGUGGGGUAAUGGCCUACCAAGGCGGCGACGGGUAGCCGGACUGAGAGGUUGGUCGGCCACAUUGGGACUGAGAUACGGCCCAG